RNAcentral lists this non-coding RNA (100 nucleotides) under Marinomonas sp. S3726. RNAcentral describes it as "Purine riboswitch aptamer". It matches the Rfam family "Purine riboswitch aptamer". From Rfam's summary of the family: Riboswitches are metabolite binding domains within certain messenger RNAs that serve as precision sensors for their corresponding targets. Lineage: Bacteria; Pseudomonadati; Pseudomonadota; Gammaproteobacteria; Oceanospirillales; Oceanospirillaceae. The record is from Rfam by way of RNAcentral. RNAcentral also lists the same sequence under 1 other name.
CUUAAAUGUUUUAAGCCCUCUCGUAUAACCCCAAUGAUAUGGUUUGGGGGUCUCUACCAGGAACCGAUAAUUCCUGAUUACGAAGAGUCUUGCGUUAUGC